RNAcentral lists this RNase P RNA (345 nucleotides) under Lachnospiraceae bacterium. RNAcentral describes it as "RNase P RNA component class A". It matches the Rfam family "Bacterial RNase P class A". From Rfam's summary of the family: Ribonuclease P (RNase P) is a ubiquitous endoribonuclease, found in archaea, bacteria and eukarya as well as chloroplasts and mitochondria. Its best characterised activity is the generation of mature 5'-ends of tRNAs by cleaving the 5'-leader elements of precursor-tRNAs. Lineage: Bacteria; Bacillati; Bacillota; Clostridia; Lachnospirales; Lachnospiraceae. The record is from RNAcentral.
AUAGAAUACCAGACAAUCGCUUGAAAUACAGAGGAAAGUCCGGGCUUCGCAGGGCAGGAUGCCGGAUAACGUCCGGUGGAGGUGACUCUAAGGAAAGUGCAACAGAAAAUAUACCGCCUGAGCGCCUUGUUCAGGUAAGGGUGAAAUGGCAGUGUAAGAGACUACCGCCCGGGUGGUAACACGCGGGGCAGUGUAAACCCCAUCCGAAGCAAGACCAAGAAGAAACUAUACGGUUGCCCGCCGUGUUUCGGGUAGGUCGCUUGAGGUCGUCGGUAACGGCGAUCCUAGAUAGAUGAUUGUCGCGGGAUUUCCCGUACAGAACCCGGCUUAUGGUAUUCUAUGUCA